RNAcentral lists this ribosomal RNA (1392 nucleotides) under Chryseobacterium jejuense. RNAcentral's name for it is "16S ribosomal RNA". It matches the Rfam family "Bacterial small subunit ribosomal RNA". Lineage: Bacteria; Pseudomonadati; Bacteroidota; Flavobacteriia; Flavobacteriales; Weeksellaceae. The record is from RNAcentral.
CAUGCAAGCCGAGCGGUAGAGUCUCUUCGGAGACUUGAGAGCGGCGCACGGGUGCGGAACACGUGUGCAACCUGCCUUUAUCUGGGGGAUAGCCUUUCGAAAGGAAGAUUAAUACCCCAUAAUAUAUUAGAUGGCAUCAUUUGAUAUUGAAAACUCCGGUGGAUAGAGAUGGGCACGCGCAAGAUUAGAUAGUUGGUGAGGUAACGGCUCACCAAGUCUGCGAUCUUUAGGGGGCCUGAGAGGGUGAUCCCCCACACUGGUACUGAGACACGGACCAGACUCCUACGGGAGGCAGCAGUGAGGAAUAUUGGACAAUGGGUGAGAGCCUGAUCCAGCCAUCCCGCGUGAAGGACGACGGCCCUAUGGGUUGUAAACUUCUUUUGUAUAGGGAUAAACCUAGAUACGUGUAUCUAGCUGAAGGUACUAUACGAAUAAGCACCGGCUAACUCCGUGCCAGCAGCCGCGGUAAUACGGAGGGUGCAAGCGUUAUCCGGAUUUAUUGGGUUUAAAGGGUCCGUAGGCGGAUCUGUAAGUCAGUGGUGAAAUCUCACAGCUUAACUGUGAAACUGCCAUUGAUACUGCAAGUCUUGAGUGUUGUUGAAGUAGCUGGAAUAAGUAGUGUAGCGGUGAAAUGCAUAGAUAUUACUUAGAACACCAAUUGCGAAGGCAGGUUACUAAGCAACAACUGACGCUGAUGGACGAAAGCGUGGGGAGCGAACAGGAUUAGAUACCCUGGUAGUCCACGCCGUAAACGAUGCUAACUCGUUUUUGGGCUUUCGGGUUCAGAGACUAAGCGAAAGUGAUAAGUUAGCCACCUGGGGAGUACGUUCGCAAGAAUGAAACUCAAAGGAAUUGACGGGGGCCCGCACAAGCGGUGGAUUAUGUGGUUUAAUUCGAUGAUACGCGAGGAACCUUACCAAGGCUUAAAUGGGAAAUGACAGGUUUAGAAAUAGACUUUUCUUCGGACAUUUUUCAAGGUGCUGCAUGGUUGUCGUCAGCUCGUGCCGUGAGGUGUUAGGUUAAGUCCUGCAACGAGCGCAACCCCUGUCACUAGUUGCCAUCAUUAAGUUGGGGACUCUAGUGAGACUGCCUACGCAAGUAGAGAGGAAGGUGGGGAUGACGUCAAAUCAUCACGGCCCUUACGCCUUGGGCCACACACGUAAUACAAUGGCCAGUACAGAGGGCAGCUACACAGCGAUGUGAUGCAAAUCUCGAAAGCUGGUCUCAGUUCGGAUUGGAGUCUGCAACUCGACUCUAUGAAGCUGGAAUCGCUAGUAAUCGCGCAUCAGCCAUGGCGCGGUGAAUACGUUCCCGGGCCUUGUACACACCGCCCGUCAAGCCAUGGAAGUCUGGGGUACCUGAAGUCGGUGACCGUAAAAGGAGCUGCCUAGG